CGAAGUCAACACGAAGUCCUGCCCAAACAGCAAGCGGCAUACACGCAAGCAAUCGGCUACACUCACACACACAUACACAGGCGUGCGCACACUCUCACGAGCGUGUGUACAGCGUAGAAAACGAACGAAACGAAACGAAGCGAAAGGCAGGCAGCGGCCUAACAGAGGCAGCUAACAGACAGCAGUUGGUUGUCCGUUCUGUUCUCUAUGUGUGGUUGUAAAAAGGCGAAAACGUCACGAGAAAAACCGGUUAAUAAAUUAUUGCCAUUUGAAUGGGAAAUGUACGGAAACUUUACAAAACAAAACAGGACCACAACAGAUGCAAAUAUUGAUCAUACUGAAUAGAAUCGAACUGAUUGAUGACCGGCGGCAAAGGAUUUCAUCGUUUUCUCUGAAGGACAACGGAGGCACUAAAAACCCAAAAGCCUGAUUCAGAAUCUCGCACGCUUCCAAGAUAUUUAUCAAAUAAUGCAUAAAGCAACGAGAAAAAUUUUAAUAGAAUUUCAGAA
Molecule: long non-coding RNA, 509 nt
Organism: Drosophila mojavensis
Lineage: Eukaryota; Metazoa; Arthropoda; Insecta; Diptera; Drosophilidae
Exons: 2
Source: RefSeq, a predicted model, not a curated record